AUCAAUCAGAAAACGUUUACCCACUCAAAUGAAUUUUUUUCGAAAAUUUUUCUGGGUAAAACUGCUGUUUGUAAUUUAAAAAAUAGAGAUCAGUUUAGAAAUCAACCAAGAACACCCAAAACGCCCAAAAUCUGAUACCAAAUGAUACGGGGUUGCGCGCGGACCAAGAUCGAGUUUCCAAGUCACGAGAAACUCCUACGAAAACCCUAAACAAUUAGAUCUGAAACGAAACAGAAAAUUAAAAGAUUAGAUUUUUGAAUUUUCAGAUCUGAAAUAAAAUCCCCAAAACAGUAAAGAAUCAAAUUGAGAAUAGAAAUAAG
This 320-nucleotide long non-coding RNA is filed under the name Gossypium raimondii (Peruvian cotton). RNAcentral's name for it is "long non-coding RNA (GRAI_LNC006377)". The record is from RNAcentral. Lineage: Eukaryota; Viridiplantae; Streptophyta; Magnoliopsida; Malvales; Malvaceae.